AACGAACGCUGGCGGCAGGCCUAACACAUGCAAGUCGAGCGGACCUUUCGGGGUCAGCGGCGGACGGGUGAGUAACGCGUGGGAAUAUGCCCUUCUCUACGGAAUAGUCCUGGGAAACUGGGGGUAAUACCGUAUACGCUCUUUGGGGGAAAGAUUUAUCGGGGAAGGAUUAGCCCGCGUUGGAUUAGGUAGUUGGUGGGGUAAUGGCCUACCAAGCCGACGAUCCAUAGCUGGUUGGAGAGGAUGAUCAGCCACACUGGGACUGAGACACGGCCCAGACUCCUACGGGAGGCAGCAGUGGGGAAUCUUAGACAAUGGGGGCAACCCUGAUCUAGCCAUGACGCGUGAGUGAUGAAGGCCUUAGGGUUGUAAAGCUCUUUCAGCUGGGAAGAUAAUGACGGUACCAGCAGAAGAAGCCCCGGCUAACUCCGUG
Molecule: ribosomal RNA, 433 nt
Filed under: uncultured bacterium
Lineage: Bacteria
Description: partial 16S ribosomal RNA
Rfam family: Bacterial small subunit ribosomal RNA
Source: RNAcentral